This 486-nucleotide ribosomal RNA is filed under the name uncultured bacterium. Its description in RNAcentral is "bacterial SSU rRNA". It matches the Rfam family "Bacterial small subunit ribosomal RNA", at positions 1 to 478 of the family's 1533-position model. The record is from RNAcentral.
AAUUCGCCCUUAGAGUUUGAUCAUGGCUCAGAUUGAACGCUGGCGGCAGGCUUAACACAUGCAAGUCGAGCGGGGAAUGGUAGCUUGCUACCUGACCUAGCGGCGGACGGGUGAGUAAUGCUUAGGAAUCUGCCUAUUAGUGGGGGACAACAUUCCGAAAGGAAUGCUAAUACCGCAUACGCCCUACGGGGGAAAGCAGGGGAUCUUCGGACCUUGCGCUAAUAGAUGAGCCUAAGUCAGAUUAGCUAGUUGGUGGGGUAAAGGCCUACCAAGGCGACGAUCUGUAGCGGGUCUGAGAGGAUGAUCCGCCACACUGGGACUGAGACACGGCCCAGACUCCUACGGGAGGCAGCAGUGGGGAAUAUUGGACAAUGGGCGCAAGCCUGAUCCAGCCAUGCCGCGUGUGUGAAGAAGGCCUUUUGGUUGUAAAGCACUUUAAGCGAGGAGGAGGCUACUGAGAUUAAUACUCUUGGAUAGUGGACGUAC